AAUAGAUACCCCGGUAGUCCACGCCGUAAACGAUGGAUACUAGCUGUUCGGAGUAAUCUGAGUGGCUAAGCGAAAGUGAUAAGUAUCCCACCUGGGGAGUACGUUCGCAAGAAUGAAACUCAAAGGAAUUGACGGGGGCCCGCACAAGCGGUGGAGCAUGUGGUUUAAUUCGAUGAUACGCGAGGAACCUUACCAGGGCUUAAAUGUAGAUUGACAGGUUUAGAGAUAGACUUUUCUUCGGACAAUUUACAAGGUGCUGCAUGGUUGUCGUCAGCUCGUGCCGUGAGGUGUCAGGUUAAGUCCUAUAACGAGCGCAACCCCUGUUGUUAGUUGCCAGCGAGUAAUGUCGGGAACUCUAACAAGACUGCCAGUGCAAACUGUGAGGAAGGUGGGGAUGACGUCAAAUCAUCACGGCCCUUACGUCCUGGGCUACACACGUGCUACAAUGGUAGGGACAGAGAGCAGCCACUUCGCGAGAAGGAGCGAAUCUAUAAACCCUAUCACAGUUCGGAUCGGAGUCUGCAACUCGAC
RNAcentral lists this ribosomal RNA (531 nucleotides) under uncultured bacterium. RNAcentral's name for it is "bacterial SSU rRNA". It matches the Rfam family "Bacterial small subunit ribosomal RNA", at positions 777 to 1316 of the family's 1533-position model. The record is from RNAcentral.